UAGGUCUCACGAGAUCUGAUGGGUUAUC
RNAcentral lists this non-coding RNA (28 nucleotides) under Homo sapiens (human). Lineage: Eukaryota; Metazoa; Chordata; Mammalia; Primates; Hominidae. The record is from RNAcentral.